This 266-nucleotide ribosomal RNA is filed under the name uncultured Sphingomonas sp. RNAcentral's name for it is "partial 16S ribosomal RNA". It matches the Rfam family "Bacterial small subunit ribosomal RNA", at positions 107 to 392 of the family's 1533-position model. Lineage: Bacteria; Pseudomonadati; Pseudomonadota; Alphaproteobacteria; Sphingomonadales; Sphingomonadaceae. The record is from RNAcentral.
UUUGCGUAACGCGGGGAAUCUGCCCUUAGGUUCGGAAUAACUCCCCGAAAGGGGUGCUAAUACCGGAUAAUGUCUUCGGACCAAAGAUUUAUCGCCUUUGGAUGGGCCCGCGUUGGAUUAGCUAGUUGGUGGGGUAAAGGCCUACCAAGGCGACGAUCCUUAGCUGGUCUUAGAGGAUGAUCAGCCACACUGGGACUGAGACACGGCCCAGACUCCUACGGGAGGCAGCAGUGGGGAAUAUGGACAAUGGCGAAAGCCUAUCCAGC